Molecule: long non-coding RNA, 3355 nt
Organism: Grus americana (Whooping crane)
Lineage: Eukaryota; Metazoa; Chordata; Aves; Gruiformes; Gruidae
Exons: 3
Source: RefSeq, a predicted model, not a curated record
CUGGCAUUUAUCAAGAGAAGACACACAGCACAGCCUUGCAUAAAUAAUGGCACUGGGCCAAGCACAGCUGAGGUGGUUGCCAGCACAACUCCACUGAAGUCAAAGGAAUUGCACCAUGGGUGUUUCCUUCUGGCCCGUGUUGCCCUUUCCCUUCGAGAAUGCAAAGGCAUGCGUGUGUCAAAGAAGAAGGAGCACAUAAUGAGUUAUGCUCCGUCGUGGAGAAGUAAAGAAGGCCACUGUUCUUGCUUGUCUUGUAUGGUUUUUCUUUGACAAGUUAUCAGAUUUUCUUGUUGUCAUUACUUGUUCCUUGCAAUGGAGAUGUCUACUGGCUGCUUAAUGAGGUUUUGAAUGACAGUCAACAUCUCUGCAUCCAAAAGCAAAGAAUGAGCGGAAUGCACACCACAUAAGGGUCAGAAGAGAAAUUCCUUCAUGCAGCAGUGCCUGAAGAACUGUGCAAGUGAAACAGGCAGCAAAUGUAAACGGCCUGUGAAGAAUGCAGAGCAAUGGGAUGAUCAAGGGUAAUUUCACCAGGGGGUUGUAAAUGGGUCAGGAGGGACAUUUGCAGUCUUGUUGCAUAACUAUAUGAAAAGUAAAAGCAAGAAAAGAGAAAAAGAAAAAACAAAAGAAAAAGGGGUAGGAGAGAAGCCAGGAGCAGAGUUUGGGACAUGCAACAGUUGCUUCAGGUGCAGACAUCAGCGGGCAAAUGGAAGGCACUACCCAGAGCAUCUGCAGCUGGAUGGAGGAAAUGGAGAGGGUGGAUGUGCAACUAUGCAGGCUGAAGGAGUUGAUGUGCAUCUCGUACUUCAAAGGGACAUUUUAGACCACAGAGAACUGCCUCAGCAUCAGGCUCAGGUGAUUUAUGUGCUAAUUAUGUAAAGUUCCUAGUUGAAAAAAUAGUAAGUCGAAGGCAUAGCAAUUUGUUUUUUAAACAAAUCAACAACACAUUGGCAUAGAGCUCUGAAAAAAUCACCUGAAGACACAUCACUGGUCUGUUUUGGAAAGGUGAGUACGAGUAAGAGCAGAGAGUAGCUCCUCCAUAGCGCAGCUUCCUCUCUUCAGGUCUUCAGUUUGAGCUUGCAGCAGUUGUUUCCAGAAGAGCUGCUGCUGCCCAACAGACCCCGCGGAUGGUAUUUAAUCAUUUGGCUAUGCAAUUGUUUACAUCAGAAUCUAUCAGCAAUAGAGGAUUAGGAAAAUAAACUGAUGAAAGGUGGGGAAAAAAACAAGUCUUCAUUUCACAGACCGUCAAAAUUCCCUGGUUUCUCUUCUUUUUGCAGACCGUAUGGUGAUGAGAUUAUUUCAUUAUCCCAGUGCAACUGUUGAAAAUGGGAAGGGGUGGGAAAACUGCCUUUAUGUUUCUAGAAAGGGAGAUGGGAUUUAUUCAUUAACAAGUUCAUCUUUUUAUUAGUAUUGUAUUUUUCCCAUCAGAACAAUCAGACUUGCUUCUAAAAUCAAAUUUCUUUAAAGGAAAACCCUCCCCAGAAAAUUGCAAUGGUGAUUUUUAUGUCUAUUCAUUAGGAUUUAUUAUUUUCAUUUCACUUUCAGCGGUUGAGGAGACUUGAAAAUUCGAGGCGGUCUCCUCCCUCAGAUUGCGGCGAUAGCAAGGGGCGGCGGCGGUGUGUGCGCUCCCUCUAGUGAGCUCUCUCCGAGGAGAGGUGCGCUGAGUUUGGCUGCUGCCUUCUGGGGAGCUCCUGGUGCUUCACCCAAAGUAUUUUCUUUCCACAGGUAAAAUUCAUACCACUCUCUUCUGUUCAGUCUGGGGAGCCUGGCACACGCCGAACUCUCAGCAGCGGUUAUAUAGGCUGAGUCGCUGCUGGAGUAGGGGACUGCAAAGGUGUCUUCUAGCUCGGCCACUGGUUUACUGGGCAGGUCAGUUGUGCUCUGACUUUUCUAUGCUUGUAUACAGAGCUUCUGAAAAUCCUAUUCAGUUUACUUAUACAGCUCUUUCAGCCUUCUUUCAACGAACAGCAAGUUUAAAAUAAUGAGGAGCAGAGCACUGACUGACUUCGUGCCUGUGAAGCACCUUAAGAUGCUCAGGUAGAACGAACUCUUGGUGGAAAACGCUCCCCUGGAAGAAACUAGUCAGUGGUGGAGCGCGCUGCCAGUGCAACUGUGAACUGGUGGCAGAUCGCUCACUUGUAACCUACAGCUCUACCCAUUUGAUCAUGCUAACUCUAUAGUAAUAGUUGCUUAAUAUAUGAGUAUUGCAGGGGAAGGAAAUAGAGAACAGAAUGCAAAAUCUAGUUUUUACUGUGCAUUUCUGUAUUUGAGUGAUGUAGAGAUAAAUAUAUCCUCUAAAGGAGAGCCUAGGAUAUAAAUAUCAUGUACCAUGUAAGACUUCAAAUGAGAAUUAAUAAAACCUGCAUGCUAUGUUUUGGAUGCGACCCUCUGCCAUCAUGGUCAGUAGGAAGGGUACAAAUGAGAAGAAGGGAAAAUAAAUUUUAGUUUUGUCCCAGUUUAUCCUCCAGCCUUGAAAACAUGAAACGAAAGCAGAAGAUCAAAUUAUUUUAGAGCUGUGUGUGAUUAUUCACAGGGCUAGCAGUAACAGGGUCUGGGUUUGCAAUGGAAUGGUAAGCAUUCUGCAGAAAUUGUUCCCUUCUCCUCUUGGACAGAAAGGUACCUUCUCGUUGUUCUCAUAGCAAAUCUCAGUCUUGAAUAGGAUAGCAUGAGAAAUGCAGGCAUACGAGGAAAAGGAGUGAAAUGUUUGUUUGGAAUAUCUUACGAGAGCCCCUGGGAAAUCUGGAUUUGGAUAAUCAAAUUAUGAAUUAAGUCAGGGAAGCAGAACAUGACUUUUAUUGAAAAGAUAUCAGUGAUCAAGCUGUUCCAUAAUGCACACAAAUCAAUAAACCCCCAAUGCAUUUUGAACUCUGAGCUGGAGGCAAACCAAUGGAUUACACUGCCUCCCCUUUUGGCUUCUGGAGAGGGCAAAAAUUAUGUAGCCUGCAGGGGAAACAACAGUCUUGACAGCUCUGCAUCAAUCUACUCAACUUCUAUUCCAACUGUGGUGAACGGAGAUGAUGUUGACCUCUAGGCACAAAUCGUCUGUUCAUCAUGAUGCAAUAGAAAUAUCUGAAGAUGUGCUGACGUGCAACUUUUAGCUACUUUAAAAAAAAAUAAAUUCAUGCAUUUCUAUGUUUUUAACAUAGAACUUUCAAAUCAGUUUGUGAUUUGUCUAAAAUAUGUAUAUAUAUCUCCCUACUUAAAGUCUAUAGAGCAUUUUGGUUAUCGGUAUGUUUUCAAAUCUUGUUACUGGAGACCAGACAGAACCUUUAAUUGUUUCUGGGUAUUGGAGAUUAUGAAAUUGUUGUGAUUACGGGAGUUAUUUUGUGUUAAGAGAAAAAUACAUGCCAAGUUCUAU